RNAcentral lists this ribosomal RNA (426 nucleotides) under uncultured bacterium. RNAcentral describes it as "bacterial SSU rRNA". It matches the Rfam family "Bacterial small subunit ribosomal RNA", at positions 354 to 796 of the family's 1533-position model. The record is from RNAcentral.
GUGAGGAAUUUUCCGCAAUGGUCGCAAGACUGACGGAGCAACGCCGCGUGCAGGAGGACGCUUUUCGGAGUGUAAACUGCUUUUCUGUGGGACGAGGAUGGACGGUACCACAGGAAGAAGCCCCGGCUAACUACGUGCCAGCAGCCGCGGUAAUACGUAGGGGGCGAGCGUUGUCCGGAGUUACUGGGCGUAAAGGGCCUGCAGGCGGUGCUGCGCGUUUCGCGUGACAGCGCAGGGCUUCACUCUGCGAGGGUGCGAAAGACGGCAGCACUUGAGGGCCAGAGAGGGACACGGAAUUCCGGGUGGAGUGGUGAAAUGCGUAGAGAUCCGGAGGAACACCGAAGGCGAAGGCAGUGUCCUGGCUGGUGCCUGACGCUGAGAGGCGAAAGCCAGGGGAGCGAACGGGAUUAGAAACCCUAGUAGUCC